RNAcentral lists this ribosomal RNA (813 nucleotides) under Triticum aestivum (bread wheat). RNAcentral describes it as "partial small subunit ribosomal RNA". Lineage: Eukaryota; Viridiplantae; Streptophyta; Magnoliopsida; Poales; Poaceae. The record is from RNAcentral.
UCGUCUAAACAUUUCUUUUUUUCUUUUGUGUUGGUGUGUGCGUCGCGUGUGCCCGAGCGGAGGAGAGGGAGCGGGUACUUCAGUAGCGGCGCCGGCGGCGGGUACGGCCGACGAAGGCCGCUGGAGGCCGCGUCUCGCCGUGCGAGGUUCGACGGGUGCCAGGCGCGGAGGGAGGGGAGGUAGAUCUGAGAGACGAGGGCCUGAGAUGUCGGGCGAGCGUUGGUGUGUGGGUACCGAUCCCAAAGCCCGUACCGAAGCGGCCGCGCAGAGGCCACCAGGUUUCAAGAAGAAAGGAAGGAAGAACCGGCUCUAGGCGACGGGGAUGUAGAGUGGAAGAGAAGUAUAGGAGACGACCUCUACGUCAACCCCGUGCGGUACCCUCAAGGGGUAGGUGGUGCCAGCAGCGGCAGUUCCCUAAGAAGUUCCUCUACAGUUCCUGCGGUACCUGUACGUCGAGGAGUUCGCCCCCUAGUGUCUAAGUGUCUACAUUCCUAGCCCUCUUAACCCGGAGUGUAAUAAAAAAGGUCUUAACCCACAACCACGAGAGAUUUGACUUAACUCACUCGAUUUAGACACGUAGUUUUAACAUCAGACAUCGAAAUACACAAUGCAGAAUUCUAACUUGAACUUCUAACGGAAACCCUCAUCAAAAUCAACCAUCUACAAAGUCCGAGGUUUAUGCGUGUGUAAUACACGAAUUACACACCGUAUUUGUACUAGUCAAAAUACGAAUCUUUGGUUUAGUGACAGGUGGGUAAAAUAAAGAAGUACUCAUAAAACACAACUUUAGUCUAGUGGCAAGUGGACAAGAGC